GUCGGACGGUAGCACAGGGGAGCUUGCUCCUUGGGUGACGAGUGGCGGACGGGUGAGUAAUGUCUGGGAAACUGCCCGGUGGAGGGGGAUAACUACUGGAAACGGUAGCUAAUACCGCAUAACGUCUUCGGACCAAAGUGGGGGAUCUUAGGGCCUCACGCCACCGGAUGUGCCCAGAUGGGAUUAGCUAGUAGGUGGGGUAACGGCUCACCUAGGCGACGAUCCCUAGCUGGUCUGAGAGGAUGACCAGCCACACUGGAACUGAGACACGGUCCAGACUCCUACGGGAGGCAGCAGUGGGGAAUAUUGCACAAUGGGCGCAAGCCUGAUGCAGCCAUGCCGCGUGUAUGAAGAAGGCCUUCGGGUUGUAAAGUACUUUCAGCGGGGAGGAAGGCGGUGAGGUUAAUAACCUCGCCGAUUGACGUUACCCGCAGAAGAAGCACCGGCUAACUCCGUGCCAGCAGCC
Molecule: ribosomal RNA, 466 nt
Filed under: uncultured bacterium
Lineage: Bacteria
Description: bacterial SSU rRNA
Rfam family: Bacterial small subunit ribosomal RNA
Source: RNAcentral